RNAcentral lists this transfer RNA (77 nucleotides) under Tetragenococcus muriaticus 3MR10-3. Its description in RNAcentral is "tRNA-Arg". It matches the Rfam family "tRNA". Rfam says of the family: Transfer RNA (tRNA) molecules are approximately 80 nucleotides in length. Their secondary structure includes four short double-helical elements and three loops (D, anti-codon, and T loops). Lineage: Bacteria; Bacillati; Bacillota; Bacilli; Lactobacillales; Enterococcaceae. The record is from RNAcentral. RNAcentral also lists the same sequence under 1 other name.
GCGCCCAUAGCUCAACUGGACAGAGUGUCUGACUACGGAUCAGAAGGUUGAGGGUUCAAAUCCUUCUGGGCGCGUCA